This is a small nucleolar RNA of Panicum hallii, 107 nucleotides long. The record is from RefSeq and is a predicted model, not a curated record. NCBI's taxonomy places the organism in Eukaryota, Viridiplantae, Streptophyta, Magnoliopsida, Poales, Poaceae.
AUCCCGUGGUGAGGACACGCAAGAAUGUGCUCUUGGAGUCUCUCCCAUGCUUCAGAUAUUGAUUCAUUUGACGCCUGCUGAAAUCCAGAAAUUCUCCCACAAAGGGC